This 528-nucleotide unclassified non-coding RNA is filed under the name Hevea brasiliensis (rubber tree). The record is from RNAcentral. Lineage: Eukaryota; Viridiplantae; Streptophyta; Magnoliopsida; Malpighiales; Euphorbiaceae.
CUGUCAAAAUUUGAUUGAAGUACUGCAGGUGAUAGAAUUACCAUCAGCAUGGAAUUAUUGAAACAAAUCAUGUCCGAGAAUUCAAUUCACUUUACAAUAGAAUUCUUAUGUUUCGAAUAAUUUUUCAAGUGAUAGAUUCAUUUAAAUUCUUGCUUGAAAUAAAUCAACAAUAAAUGAAAGUAUCCUAUUUCCUUUAUUAUCCCUAUCUUGAAUGAGCUAGUAAGAUGGGCCAAGGUACUUUUGUGCCACAUGAAUUGACUUACUAAGGAAUCCCACUUGGCACUUGUGGCUUGAUUUCUGUUUAUUUCAAAAUACCAUUUUUUUUUUAAAUCUUCCCGUGCUAGUGUACUUUUCAAACAUGAUAACUGCCCAAAUAAAAUACAAUUGAAUUGAAUUCCACUAUUCAUAAGGUUCCCAAAAACAGUGCAAUAUGGUGACAGAAAAUGAGUUUACUCAAUCCUCAAAUGGGAGACAAAUCCUCCAAAGAGGAAAGGAAUCUAUAAAACUAUGACAACAUUCAGUCUUUUC